UAUAAGAGUGCGUAACAUUUUGUUCAUUUUGUGCACAACCACAUUUUAUUCACGAAAGUAUAAACUUGCGCUGUGUUUGUGUAAAUUUAAUUCGUCAAAUGUAAAUAUUUUAAAUGUUAAUGGGAAGAACAAAUUCUUAAAAUGUACAAUAUCUCCAUAUAACAUGCCUGUUAGACUGUCAAUAGACAUAGAAUCCCGUUUUAUUUUUUACGCGGUUUUUUGAAAGGCGAGUCCGAACAAUAUAAAUAGUAAAGGCAAAAAUUUAAAGUUAUAUAAUUAAUUGAAAAAAGUAUAUCGGUUUCGAAUGUCAUACAAUAAUUAUUUUCUUCUUUGGUGUCAAAGUAAACUACAUAUUCGUACAGAAAAUAUUUCACAGUACAUGUCUGUAAAAUUUGUUAAAUAUUCUCAUAAUCGUUUGUUUCAUAUCAUAAAACUGCACGCGACUGGAUGUAGUUAUAAAGAGGCCACAGAGGCUCUGCAACGAACGGUGGCCAAAAGUAUUUUCACAGCAUAUAGCCUGGCAACAACUCACCGCUCGAGCAUAAAAGAAUAUUGAUCAAGCGCCCUAGCAGAUAGACGUAAAGCCUGGUGAACACAAAGACGCUAACAUCCUGCAGAAAAGUUCAACAUGGCUGACAACACCGUACGGUCGGAAGAUGUGUAAGGACAAAAGUGAGAUCGUUGCAUUACAGACACCGGUUUACUGUUAACUGUUGAGUUAUCGAUCCGGACAGAACUUAAGUGUGCACCACUGCAGUAUGAUGACAUUUAAGUUUUAUAGACUUUCAUGCAAUAGUUACUGUCACACAGCUCCGGACAUUGAAAGUGGAAGGACGGAGAACCACACAGAAACAAUAUCGGCGAAUGCUGAUGUAUAUUUGUUUUAAGUUUCGUGAAAUAGGUACUGUGAAAUAGCUCCGGACGUACAACCUUCCUGAAUUUCAAUCUAUUAAGGGGCAAUAAAUUAAUAACGCGUGCACCGCAGUAUGAUUGAACACAUUCAUAUUAAGUUUAAUGAAAUUUAAUAAAUAAUUAUUGAUAAACACCUCCGGACAUCGCCAAAAUAAUAUUCCUUCACUGUCUUAGAAGGGUAAAAAGCCAUCAUAAUGGAGGUGUCAUUUUGUCUACUUACAAGAGUUGGCGCAUUCGGAUUAAAUGCGUAUUCUACAUGCAAUAAUAAAUGCAUGCAAAAAUAAAUAUCUUUCUUGCAACAAGCGUAAAUCUACUGCAAAUCUUAGCAAAACAUUUGCAAACGUAUG
Dreissena polymorpha is the source of this 1259-nucleotide long non-coding RNA. RefSeq lists it as uncharacterized. The transcript is spliced from 3 exons. The record is from RefSeq and is a predicted model, not a curated record. NCBI's taxonomy places the organism in Eukaryota, Metazoa, Mollusca, Bivalvia, Myida, Dreissenidae.